Molecule: ribosomal RNA, 207 nt
Filed under: uncultured bacterium
Lineage: Bacteria
Description: partial 16S ribosomal RNA
Rfam family: Bacterial small subunit ribosomal RNA
Source: RNAcentral
CGCGUAGGCGGUCAUGCAAGUCAGGUGUGAAAUCCCCAGGCUUAACCUGGGAACUGCGCUUGAAACUGCAUAGCUUGAGGCCGGGAGAGGAAAGUGGAAUUCCUGGUGUAGCGGCGAAAUGCGUAGAUAUCAGGAGGAACACCGGUGGCGAAGGCGGCUUUCUGGACCGGUUCUGACGCUGAAGCGCGAAAGCGUGGGGAGCAAACG